RNAcentral lists this long non-coding RNA (975 nucleotides) under Homo sapiens (human). Its description in RNAcentral is "HSALNT0313116". The record is from RNAcentral. Lineage: Eukaryota; Metazoa; Chordata; Mammalia; Primates; Hominidae.
CACAGUACCUGGACCGGGCAGAGGAGUGGAAUCCAAAGAUAAAGUUAGGAGAACGUACUUCAAGGGGAAAUUUGUCCUUUCACUUGUGGUAUCAUAGUCUUUCAUGGAUCCCAUGCUGUUGUCUGUUUAUUUCUCCUUAAACAAGGAAAAAUAUACCCAGACCCAGUUUUCAUCAACAGACCAGCCCAUGGCAACCAUCACUCUACUUUCUGUCUCUAUGAAUUUGAAUACUCUGGGUAACCUCAUUCUGGGAUGAUAUGAAACCUUGCAGACGACAUGCAUGGAUCAACUCAUGAGACAGUAAAUCACUCAAAAUCUUACUACAAAAGACAACGUCCUUAUUUGCUUUUACAGAAAAAGGGCAUCUGUUGGAGGCUGGAGGAUCUACUGUCAAGAUGACUCACUCUUAUGACUAGCAGACCACUACGGGCAACUCUCCAUCUAUCCCUCCUGAUUCCUUUAUGGACAACUCUCCAUCUAUUCCACCUGAUUCCUCUAUGGACAACUCUCCAUCUAUUCCGCCUGAUUCCUCCAUGGGCAACUGUCCAUGUAUUCCACCUGACUCCCAGCUAGGCUGCAUCCUCCACCAUUGGAAUCAAUUUGACCCUGACAACCUAAAAAGAAAACUGUGAUGAUUAAUACUGAGUGUCAACUUGAUUGGAUAGAAGGAUGCAAAGUAUUGAUCCUGGAUGUGUCUGUGAGGGUAUUGCCAAAGGAGAUUAACAUUUGAGUCAGUGGGCUGGGAAAGGCAGACCCACUCUUAAUCUGGGUGGGCACCAUCUAAUUAGCUGCCAGCAUGGCUAGAAUAUAAAGCAGGCAGAAAAACAUGAAAAAACUAGAUUGGCCUAGCCUCCCGGCAUACAUCUUUCUCCUGUGCUGGAUGAUUCCUGCCUUUGAACAUCGGACUCCAAGUUCUUCAGUUUUGGGACUCACACUGGCUUUCCUUGUUCUUCAGCUUGCAGACAGUCUAUUGUG